This 772-nucleotide ribosomal RNA is filed under the name uncultured bacterium. RNAcentral describes it as "bacterial SSU rRNA". It matches the Rfam family "Bacterial small subunit ribosomal RNA", at positions 8 to 796 of the family's 1533-position model. The record is from RNAcentral.
AGAGUUUGAUCCUGGCUCAGGACGAACGCUGGCGGCGUGCUUAACACAUGCAAGUCGAGCGAGGCCCUCUUUCGGGGGGUGCCCUAGCGGCGAACGGGUGAGUAACACGUGGGCAACCUGCCCUCAGCUUCGGGAUAACUCCAAGAAAUUGGUGCUAAUCCGGAUGUGACCCUGACCGCAUGGUCUGGUGGUGGAAAGAUUCAUCGGCUGGGGAUGGGCCCGCGGCCUAUCAGCUUGUUGGUGGGGUAAUGGCCUACCAAGGCGACGACGGGUAGCCGGCCUGAGAGGGUGACCGNNCACACUGGGACUGAGACACGGCCCAGACUCCUACGGGAGGCAGCAGUGGGGAAUAUUGCGCAAUGGGCGGAAGCCUGACGCAGCGACGCCGCGUGAGGGAUGACGGCCUUCGGGUUGUAAACCUCUUUCAGUAGGGACGAAGCGGAAGUGACGGUACCUACAGAAGAAGCACCGGCCAACUACGUGCCAGCAGCCGCGGUAAUACGUAGGGUGCAAGCGUUGUCCGGAAUUAUUGGGCGUAAAGAGCUCGUAGGCGGUCUGUCACGUCGGCUGUGAAAACCCGAGGCUCAACCUCGGGCCUGCAGUCGAUACGGGCAAACUGGAGUACUGCAGGGGAGACUGGAAUUCCUGGUGUAGCGGUGAAAUGCGCAGAUAUCAGGAGGAACACCGGUGGCGAAGGCGGGUCUCUGGGCAGUAACUGACGCUGAGGAGCGAAAGCGUGGGGAGCGAACAGGAUUAGAUACCCUAGUAGUCC